RNAcentral lists this ribosomal RNA (460 nucleotides) under uncultured bacterium. Its description in RNAcentral is "partial 16S ribosomal RNA". It matches the Rfam family "Bacterial small subunit ribosomal RNA", at positions 338 to 795 of the family's 1533-position model. The record is from RNAcentral.
CCUACGGGAGGCAGCAGUGAGGAAUAUUGGUCAAUGGGCUUACGCCUGAACCAGCCAAGUCGCGUGAGGGAAGACUGCCCUAUGGGUUGUAAACCUCUUUUGUCAGGGAGCAAUUGGCGCUACGUGUAGCGUUAUCGAGAGUACCUGAAGAAAAAGCAUCGGCUAACUCCGUGCCAGCAGCCGCGGUAAUACGGAGGAUGCGAGCGUUAUCCGGUUUUAUUGGGUUUAAAGGUUGCGUAGGCGGAAUGCCAAGUCAGCGGUAAAAUCGAGGGGCUCAACCUCGCUCCGCCGUUGAAACUGGCGGUCUUGAGUGGGCGAGAGGUAUGCGGAAUGCGUGGUGUAGCGGUGAAAUGCAUAGAUAUCACGCAGAACUCCGAUUGCGAAGGCAGCAUACCGGCGCCCAACUGACGCUGAAGCACGAAAGCGUGGGUAUCGAACAGGAUUAGAUACCCUUGUAGUC